This is a non-coding RNA of Lolium perenne, 503 nucleotides long. The record is from RefSeq and is a predicted model, not a curated record. Lineage: Eukaryota; Viridiplantae; Streptophyta; Magnoliopsida; Poales; Poaceae.
GGAGCAGGUGGUCGCCUCUCCAUGGUGCUCAGCUAUCCGGCGCGAGUUGGAGCGGUGCGGGCUGACUGUGCUGUGCAGGGGCGGCAUUAAGGUCACAACCAAGGUUUGGGAAGUGGCGGUUGUCGAGCAACGGUGAGCAUGUCUGAUUUCAGACGUUGCUACUGUUGGUCUCGGCUGUGGAGAUUGAUGGAGAGCAAGGAGGAGCAGAGCGGUCUACAUCUUUUUCUUUCCUCGCUCAUAGGUGAGGAUAUCGAUGGAGGUUAUAGUAAAGAAGAGGUAGAAGAGCUCACAAAAAUAAGCAAUUAGGUGAUCUGGCUGUGUCCCUGCAGCUGACAGGAAUUUCAAGCAGAUAGAAACUAUGCUGCAGUUUCUGGGUUCAGCUGACAUUGUCCAGCUGGUGGUAAACAAGCUCUUUUAUGCCGAGGACCAAAAGAAGACCCUACAACAGACCGAUUACUUUAACAAAAAGGUUGCUCCAAAGGAGCUUGCUGAUGAAAUUAAGG